RNAcentral lists this ribosomal RNA (248 nucleotides) under uncultured bacterium. Its description in RNAcentral is "partial 16S ribosomal RNA". It matches the Rfam family "Bacterial small subunit ribosomal RNA", at positions 523 to 769 of the family's 1533-position model. The record is from RNAcentral.
AUACGUAGGUGGCAAGCGUUGUCCGGAGUUUACUGGGCGUAAAGGGAGCGUAGGCGGACUUUUAAGUGAGAUGUGAGAUACCCGGGCUCAACCUGGGUGCUGCAUUUCAAACUGGAAGUCUAGAGUGCAGGAGAGGAGAGUGGAAUUCCUAGUGUAGCGGUGAAAUGCGUAGAGAUUAGGAAGAACACCAGUGGCGAAGGCGACUCUCUGGACUGUAACUGACGCUGAGGCUCGAAAGCGUGGGGAGC